UGUACACCUCUUGCCAUAUUCAGAGUACUUCCCUAUAAGCCACAACAUUUUCCUCUCCUCCUCUGGAUGUUAAGAACAAUAUCCCAGGACCGGCCUACAACCCCAGUCACAUCUUACCCUAUCAGAGCAUGCUGUACACCUCUUGCCAUAUUCAGAGUUCUUCCCUACAAGCUGCAACAUUUUCCUCUCCUCCUCUGGAUGUUAGGAACAAUAACCCAGGACCGGCCUACAACCUUAGUCACAUCUGACCCUAUCAGAGCAUGCUGAACACGUCCUGCCAUAUUCAGAGUACUUCCCUAUAAGCCGCAACAUUUUCCUCUCCUCCUCUGGAUGUUAGAAACAAUAACCCAGAACCGGCCUACAACCCCAGUCACAUC
Molecule: long non-coding RNA, 377 nt
Organism: Callithrix jacchus (white-tufted-ear marmoset)
Lineage: Eukaryota; Metazoa; Chordata; Mammalia; Primates; Cebidae
Source: RefSeq, a predicted model, not a curated record